Long non-coding RNA from Lolium rigidum, 1374 nucleotides. RefSeq lists it as uncharacterized. The record is from RefSeq and is a predicted model, not a curated record. The transcript is spliced from 4 exons. NCBI's taxonomy places the organism in Eukaryota, Viridiplantae, Streptophyta, Magnoliopsida, Poales, Poaceae.
ACAUGAUCUAUGCUAGGAGAGAGAACUCUUACCCUGCGGCCAGUCGCAACUGGUGUAGCAGAAAUAUUGAAUAAGUGGAGCUUAUUGCCACCAGUUGGUGCUACGUGCUGGAUUCAACCAGAACCAUGGUAAAAUUCAGCUGCUCUCACCUUAAAGAUGAAGCCGAACUGACAAUAACUCCCCGCCCAUCCAGUGCCUAAAAUUUCUGAACAGAACAAGAAAGUUCUACUGUUGGUAUAUUUCGACCUGAGUCUGCUGAUUUGGACUUGUGCCUCAAUUGGGUCGAGUUGACUAUGGCAAACCGAGACCGGUGCUGCAGUAUUCAGGCCAUGGGCACAGGGCAGUGGAGUUGAGACUUCAGAGUUGAGAGCUCUGUCCUGAGCUUAAUUUCUCCAUCUUCCGGGCUCUCUAGCGCUCUGAGCUCUGCAGAGCUUGACCUGAUCACAUCAAUCGUGUAUAUGACAGAGGACGAUGCUCUAUGCUAGGAGAGAGAACUCUUACCCUGCGUCGCCCUUAUUGGAAUCAGCCUGGGUGCUGGAUCCAAGCAGAAGCAUGGUAAAAUUUCAGCUUCUCUCGCCUUUCGGAUGAAGCCGAAACCGAUGAGAACUCCCCGCACAUCCAGUUCCUACAAUUCCAUAACAGAUCAAGAAAGUUCCAGCGUUAGUACAUUUCAACGUGAGGCUGUGCCGAUUUGGACUUGUGCCUCAACUGGCUCCGGUUGAUUCUGGGAAACGGAGACCGAUGCUGCAGUGUUCCUGCCAUAGGCACAGGAAACCUGAUCUAUGAGUGGGUUGCUCCAUUUCAUCAGCCACCAGCUGGUGCUACAUGCUGGGUUCAGCCAGAAGCAUGGUAAAAUUUCAGCUGCUCUCACCUUAAAGAUGAAGCCAAACCGACAGAGAACUCCCCGCCCAUCCAGUGCCUACAAUUUCUGAACAGAUCAAGAAUGUUCUACCAUCAGUACAUUUCGAACUGAGUUGCCGAUUGGACUUGCCUCAACUAGGUUGAGUUGACCUUGGGAAGCGGAGACUGGUACUGCAGCGUUCAGGCCAUGGGCACAGAACAGUAGAGUUGGGACGUCAGAGUUGAGAGCUUGGUCGUGAGCUUAAUUUUUCAAUCUUCCAGGCUCUCUAGCACUAUGAGCUCUGCGGAGCUUGACCUGAUUGCAUCACUCGUGUAUAUGACAGAUAGGAGGACGAUGCUCUAUGCUAGGAGAGAGAACUCUUACCCUGCGUCACCUGUGACCUAUCGCGACUGGUGUAGCACAAACAUUGAAUAAGUGGGGCUAUUGAUGGAAUAAGUCAGAUGUACUAGAAGGGACAACUAAGAGACAUACAUGGCCCUACCUAUGUCGAUGGUUCAUCAUCUUAGGUUUAG